RNAcentral lists this non-coding RNA (24 nucleotides) under Arabidopsis thaliana (thale cress). The record is from RNAcentral. Lineage: Eukaryota; Viridiplantae; Streptophyta; Magnoliopsida; Brassicales; Brassicaceae.
ACUACGUGGACCAAAUGCCAACCA